Molecule: ribosomal RNA, 253 nt
Filed under: uncultured bacterium
Lineage: Bacteria
Description: partial 16S ribosomal RNA
Rfam family: Bacterial small subunit ribosomal RNA
Source: RNAcentral
UACGUAGGGUGCGAGCGUUGUCCGGAAUUAUUGGGCGUAAAGAGCUUGUAGGCGGUUUGUCGCGUCUGCUGUGAAAUCUCAAGGCUCAACCUUGAGCUUGCGGUGGGUACGGGCAGACUAGAGUGUGGUAGGGGAGACUGGAAUUCCUGGUGUAGCGGUGAAAUGCGCAGAUAUCAGGAGGAACACCGAUGGCGAAGGCAGGUCUCUGGGCCACUACUGACGCUGAGAAGCGAAAGCGUGGGGAGCGAACAGG